GGAAUAUAUAUCACCAGAUUCUGAUUUAUAUGCGACAUUGAGCCUCGUAUCGGUGGCUGGAGUUGUGGUCAUGGUUAUUGCAUUCUCUCUGGGAUUAGGAGCAAUGCCAUGGAUUAUAAUGUCUGAGAUUCUUCCGAUUAACAUCAAAGGCCUAGUUGGAAGUUUUGCAACACUUGCCAAUUGGUUCUUUUCCUGGUUGGUUACAUUAACAGCAAAUUUGCUCUUGGAUUGGAGUUCGGGAGGUUUGUGUGCAUUGCCUAUGUUAAUUUUCUAUAAAUAUCUAUUGUUUCUAACCAGAAGCUUCCUAUGUUUUUAUCAGGAACCUUCACAAUAUAUACUGCAGUGUGUGUUUUCAUAGCAGGAUUUGUUGCCAUUUGGGUCCCCGAGACAAAGGGAAAAACUCUUGAAGAAAUACAACAGUUUUUCAGAUGAAGUUUCCUUUCGAGUAGCACUUCAGCUAGUGUUCACUCAUGUAUUCACAUUCAUAUUUUUUUUUCUGAAUCAACUCAAUUCAUUUUUGUGCUCUUUGGUC
Lathyrus oleraceus (garden pea) is the source of this 532-nucleotide long non-coding RNA. RefSeq lists it as uncharacterized. The record is from RefSeq and is a predicted model, not a curated record. NCBI's taxonomy places the organism in Eukaryota, Viridiplantae, Streptophyta, Magnoliopsida, Fabales, Fabaceae. The transcript has 3 exons.